CGACCGGCGCACGGGUGAGUAACACGUAUGCAAUCCACCUGUAACAGGGGGAGUAACCCGGAGAAAUCCGGACUAAUACCCCAUAAUAUGGGCUCUCCGCAUGGAGGGUCCAUUAAAGAGAGCAAUUUUGGUUACAGACGAGCAUGCGCUCCAUUAGCCAGUUGGCGGGGUAACGGCCCACCAAAGCGACGAUGGAUAGGGGUUCUGAGAGGAAGGUCCCCCACAUUGGAACUGAGACACGGUCCAA
This 247-nucleotide ribosomal RNA is filed under the name uncultured bacterium. RNAcentral describes it as "partial 16S ribosomal RNA". It matches the Rfam family "Bacterial small subunit ribosomal RNA", at positions 92 to 334 of the family's 1533-position model. The record is from RNAcentral.